AUUGAACGCUGGCGGCAGGCCUAACACAUGCAAGUCGAGCGGAUGAAGAGAGCUUGCUCUCUGAUUCAGCGGCGGACGGGUGAGUAAUGCCUAGGAAUCUGCCUGGUAGUGGGGGACAACGUCUCGAAAGGGACGCUAAUACCGCAUACGUCCUACGGGAGAAAGCAGGGGACCUUCGGGCCUUGCGCUUUCAGAUGAGCCUAGGUCGGAUUAGCUAGUUGGUGAGGUAAUGGCUCACCAAGGCGACGAUCCGUAACUGGUCUGAGAGGAUGAUCAGUCACACUGGAACUGAGACACGGUCCAGACUCCUACGGGAGGCAGCAGUGGGGAAUAUUGGACAAUGGGCGAAAGCCUGAUCCAGCCAUGCCGCGUGUGUGAAGAAGGUCUUCGGAUUGUAAAGCACUUUAAGUUGGGAGGGAGGGCAGUAAAUUAAUACUUUGCUGUUUUGACGUUACCGACAGAAUAAGCACCGGCUAACUCUGUGCCAGCAGCCGCAGUAA
This 500-nucleotide ribosomal RNA is filed under the name uncultured bacterium. RNAcentral's name for it is "partial 16S ribosomal RNA". It matches the Rfam family "Bacterial small subunit ribosomal RNA", at positions 30 to 523 of the family's 1533-position model. The record is from RNAcentral.